UAAUUUUUCAUGUUUUAGUAAAAAACUGGUGCACGGAGUAUGUGUCAUACAUGAAUCAUUUUGAUAGAUUCGAAUUUUAACUCUCAUUCCUAACCAUUUUUAUACUCAUAUUUCAUGUUUUACAAGAAAUAAUUUGUUGUAAUAUUAUAGACAUAUGAAAGUAAAUAACUGGGUUAAAUGUGUCUAUAUAAAUAUGAUUGUUGUCAAGGAUGUACCUUUAGAAUGUUUGAUCUCUCAUUCCCCAACUCCACCGUCUGUUUGCAUAUUAGUAAAAAUCUCAA
This is a non-coding RNA of Cinara cedri, 281 nucleotides long. The record is from the annotation of a GenBank genome assembly. Lineage: Eukaryota; Metazoa; Arthropoda; Insecta; Hemiptera; Aphididae.